UUUCCGUUGGUGAACCAGCGGGGGGAUCAUUAUCGAGUUUAUAACUCCCAAACCUUAUGUGAACUUACCACUUGUUGCUUCGGCGCGCGCUUCGGUGCCGCCGAGGACACUUAAACUCUUUGUUUUUAUAAGCAUUUCUGAGUGGCCGAAAGGCAAAAUACAAAUGAAUCAAAACUUUCAACAACGGAUCUCUUGGUUCCG
This 201-nucleotide unclassified non-coding RNA is filed under the name plant metagenome. Its description in RNAcentral is "partial contains small subunit ribosomal RNA, internal transcribed spacer 1, and 5.8S ribosomal RNA". The record is from RNAcentral.